UCAGUUGUGAAAGUUUGCGGCUCAACCGUAAAAUUGCAGUUGAUACUGGGCGCCUUGAGUGCAGCAUAGGUAGGCGGAAUUCGUGGUGUAGCGGUGAAAUGCUUAGAUAUCACGAAGAACUCCGAUUGCGAAGGCAGCCUGCUAAGCUGCAACUGACAUUGAGGCUCGAAAGUGUGGGUAUCAAACAGGAUUAGAUACCCUGGUAGUCCACACGGUAAACGAUGAAUACUCGCUGUUUGCGAUAUACAGCAAGCGGCCAAGCGAAAGCGUUAAGUAUUCCACCUGGGGAGUACGCCGGCAACGGUGAAACUCAAAGGAAUUGACGGGGGCCCGCACAAGCGGAGGAACAUGUGGUUUAAUUCGAUGAUACGCGAGGAACCUUACCCGGGCUUAAAUUGCACUCGAAUGAUCCGGAAACGGUUCAGCUAGCAAUAGCGAGUGUGAAGGUGCUGCAUGGUUGUCGUCAGCUCGUGCCGUGAGGUGUCGGCU
Molecule: ribosomal RNA, 489 nt
Filed under: uncultured bacterium
Lineage: Bacteria
Description: bacterial SSU rRNA
Rfam family: Bacterial small subunit ribosomal RNA
Source: RNAcentral